AUAAAUGGCCGCAGUACCUUGACUGUGCUAAGGUAGCAUAAUCAAUUGGCUUUUAAUUGAAGUCUAGAAUGAAUGGGAAAAUGGAAUUUAGCUGUCUUAAUUUUUUUAAUUAAAAUUUAUUUAUAAGGUGAAAAUACCUUAAAAUUAAAUAAAGACGAGAAGACCCUAUGAAUUUUUUAAAUGUAUUUUUGUUGGGGCGACAGUUUAAAAAAUAAUCUUAAAUUUAUUAUAUAUAACGAAUUUUUUUAAUAAAAAUUAAAUUACCUUAGGGAUAACAGCAUUAUUAUUUAAAUAGUUUGUGACCUCGAUGUUGGACUAGGAACUAAAAGGCUAACC
This 336-nucleotide ribosomal RNA is filed under the name Gyraulus sp. clade B TS-2018. Its description in RNAcentral is "partial 16S ribosomal RNA". The record is from RNAcentral. Lineage: Eukaryota; Metazoa; Mollusca; Gastropoda; Planorbidae.